AUUGAACGCUGGCGGCAUGCCUUACACAUGCAAGUCGAACGGUAACGGGCCUUCGGGUGCCGACGAGUGGCGAACGGGUGAGUAAUACAUCGGAACGUGCCCGAUCGUGGGGGAUAACGAGGCGAAAGCUUUGCUAAUACCGCAUACGAUCUACGGAUGAAAGCAGGGGACCGCAAGGCCUUGCGCGGACGGAGCGGCCGAUGGCAGAUUAGGUAGUUGGUGGGAUAAAAGCUUACCAAGGCGACGAUCUGUAGCUGGUCUGAGAGGAUGAUCAGCCACACUGGGACUGAGACACGGCCCAGACUCCUACGGGAGGCAGCAGUGGGGAAUUUUGGACAAUGGGCGCAAGCCUGAUCCAGCCAUGCCGCGUGCAGGAUGAAGGCCUUCGGGUUGUAAACUGCUUUUGUACGGAACGAAAAGCCUUCUUUUAAUACAGGAGGGUCAUGACGGUACCGUAAGAAUAAGCUCCGGCUAACUACGUG
This 482-nucleotide ribosomal RNA is filed under the name uncultured bacterium. RNAcentral describes it as "partial 16S ribosomal RNA". It matches the Rfam family "Bacterial small subunit ribosomal RNA", at positions 30 to 507 of the family's 1533-position model. The record is from RNAcentral.